UUGGAGGGCAAGUCUGGUGCCAGCAGCCGCGGUAAUUCCAGCUCCAAUAGCGUAUAUUAAAGUUGUUGCAGUUAAAAAGCUCGUAGUUGAAUUUCGGGGUCAGUAGGUCGGUCGUGCCACUGGUAUGAGCUGGUUUUACUGAUUCCUCCCUCUUGAAGAACUGUAAUGCCAUUAAUUUGGUGUUGCAGGGAAUCAGGACUGUUACUUUGAAAAAAUUAGAGUGUUUAAAGCAGGCUUUAGCUUGAAUACAUUAGCAUGGAAUAAUGAAAUAGGACGUUUGAUCCUAUUUUGUUGGUUUCUAGGAUUGACGUAAUGAUUAAUAGGGAUAGUUGGGGGCAUUAGUAUUCAAUUGUCAGAGGUGAAAUUCUUGGAUUUAUUGAAGACUAACUACUGCGAAAGCAUUUGCCAAGGAUGUUUUCAUUAAUCAAGAACGAAAGUUAGGGGAUCGAAGACGAUCAGAUACCGUCGUAGUCUUAACCAUAAACUAUGCCGACUAGGGAUCGGAUGAUGUUAAUUUUUUAAUGACUCAUUCGGCGCCUUACGGGAAAC
RNAcentral lists this ribosomal RNA (549 nucleotides) under uncultured Glomeromycotina. Its description in RNAcentral is "SSU rRNA". It matches the Rfam family "Eukaryotic small subunit ribosomal RNA", at positions 548 to 1098 of the family's 1831-position model. Lineage: Eukaryota; Fungi; Glomeromycota. The record is from RNAcentral.